CCCUUAGAUGUUCUGGGCCGCACGCGCGCUACACUGACGGAGGCAGCGAGCGUGUCCUUCGCCGGCAGGUGCGGGCAAUCUUGCGAGUCUCCGUCGUGCUGGGGAUAGAUGGUUGCAAUUGUCGAUCUUGAACGAGGAAUUCCUAGUAAGCGCGAGUCAUCAGCUCGCGCCGAUUACGUCCCUGCCCUUUGUACACACCGCCCGUCGCUACUACAGAGUGCCCGUGUCCAAGAAACGGUCGGACCUGUGCGGCCUCUCCGGGCGACCGGAGGGCCGUUACGGGGAAGACCCUUUAUUUGACGCGGGUCGAUGAAGUAAAAGUCGUAACA
Molecule: ribosomal RNA, 329 nt
Filed under: uncultured eukaryote
Lineage: Eukaryota
Description: partial 18S ribosomal RNA
Rfam family: Eukaryotic small subunit ribosomal RNA
Source: RNAcentral